GUGGAUUAGAUACCCUGGUAGUCCACGCCGUAAACGAUGAUAACUAGCUGUCCGGGCACUUGGUGCUUGGGUGGCGCAGCUAACGCAUUAAGUUAUCCGCCUGGGGAGUACGGUCGCAAGAUUAAAACUCAAAGGAAUUGACGGGGGCCUGCACAAGCGGUGGAGCAUGUGGUUUAAUUCGAAGCAACGCGCAGAACCUUACCAGCCUUUGACAUCCCGCGCUACAACCAGAGAUGGUUGGUUCCCUUCGGGGACGCGGUGACAGGUGCUGCACGGUUGUCGCCAACU
This 288-nucleotide ribosomal RNA is filed under the name uncultured bacterium. Its description in RNAcentral is "partial 16S ribosomal RNA". It matches the Rfam family "Bacterial small subunit ribosomal RNA", at positions 773 to 1060 of the family's 1533-position model. The record is from RNAcentral.